AGUGAACGCUGGCGGUAGGCCUAACACAUGCAAGUCGAACGGAAGCACAGUAAGAGCUUGCCUCUACGGGUGGCGAGUGGCGGAUGGGUGAGGAAUACAUAGGAAUCUAAUUUUUCGUGGGGGACAACGUAGGGACAGUUACGCUAAUACCGCAUAUGAUCUACGGGUGAAAGCAGGAGAUCUUCGGACCUUGCGUGUCUGAAUGAGCCGACGUCGGAUUAGCUAGUUGGCGUGGUAAAGGCCCACCAAGGCGACGAUCCGUAGCUGACCUGAGAGGAUGAUCGGCCACACUGGAACUGAGACACGGUCCAGACUCCUACGGGAGGCAGCAGUAGGGAAUAUUGGGCAAUGGGCGCAAGCCUGAUCCAGCCAUGCCGCGUGAGUGAUGAAGGCCUUCGGAUUGUAAAGCCCUUUUAUUAGGGAAGAAAAACUGUGGAUUAAAACCCCCCUGUUCUGACGGUACCCAAACAGUAAGCACCGGCUAACUUCGUG
Molecule: ribosomal RNA, 492 nt
Filed under: uncultured bacterium
Lineage: Bacteria
Description: partial 16S ribosomal RNA
Rfam family: Bacterial small subunit ribosomal RNA
Source: RNAcentral